GACGAACGCUGGCGGCGUGCUUAACACAUGCAAGUCGAACGAAGAGCGAUGGAAGCUUGCUUCUAUCAACCUUAGUGGCGAACGGGUGAGUAACGCGUAAUCAACCUGCCCUUCAGAGGGAGACAACAGUUGGAAACGACUGCUAAUACCGCAUACGAUCCAAUCUCGGCAUCGAGACUGGAUGAAGGGUGGCCUCUAUUUAUAAGCUAUCACUGAAGGAGGGGAUUGCGUCUGAUUAGCUAGUUGGAGGGGUAACGGCCCACCAAGGCGAUGAUCAGUAGCCGGUCUGAGAGGAUGAACGGCCACAUUGGGACUGAGACACGGCCCAGACUCCUACGGGAGGCAGCAGUGGGGAAUCUUCCGCAAUGGACGAAAGUCUGACGGAGCAACGCCGCGUGAGUGAUGACGGCCUUCGGGUUGUAAAGCUCUGUUAAUCGGGACGAAUGGUUCUUGUGCAAAU
RNAcentral lists this ribosomal RNA (460 nucleotides) under Veillonella atypica. RNAcentral's name for it is "bacterial SSU rRNA". It matches the Rfam family "Bacterial small subunit ribosomal RNA", at positions 28 to 465 of the family's 1533-position model. The record is from RNAcentral. Lineage: Bacteria; Bacillati; Bacillota; Negativicutes; Veillonellales; Veillonellaceae.